RNAcentral lists this ribosomal RNA (303 nucleotides) under uncultured Fusobacterium sp. RNAcentral describes it as "bacterial SSU rRNA". It matches the Rfam family "Bacterial small subunit ribosomal RNA", at positions 1212 to 1513 of the family's 1533-position model. The record is from RNAcentral. Lineage: Bacteria; Fusobacteriati; Fusobacteriota; Fusobacteriia; Fusobacteriales; Fusobacteriaceae.
GGCUACACACGUGCUACAAUGGGUAGUACAGAGAGUCGCAAAGCCGUGAGGUGGAGCUAAUCUCAGAAAACUAUUCUUAGUUCGGAUUGUACUCUGCAACUCGAGUACAUGAAGUUGGAAUCGCUAGUAAUCGCGAAUCAGCAAUGUCGCGGUGAAUACGUUCUCGGGUCUUGUACACACCGCCCGUCACACCACGAGAGUUGGUUGCACCUGAAGUAGCAGGCCUAACCGUAAGGAGGGAUGCUCCGAGGGUGUGAUUAGCGAUUGGGGUGAAGUCGUGACAAGGUAUCCGUACGGGAACGU